AUUGAACGCUGGCGGCAGGCCUAACACAUGCAAGUCGAGCGGAUGAAGGGAGCUUGCUCCUGGAUUCAGCGGCGGACGGGUGAGUAAUGCCUAGGAAUCUGCCUGGUAGUGGGGGAUAACGUCCGGAAACGGGCGCUAAUACCGCAUACGUCCUGAGGGAGAAAGUGGGGGAUCUUCGGACCUCACGCUAUCAGAUGAGCCUAGGUCGGAUUAGCUAGUUGGUGGGGUAAAGGCCUACCAAGGCGACGAUCCGUAACUGGUCUGAGAGGAUGAUCAGUCACACUGGAACUGAGACACGGUCCAGACUCCUACGGGAGGCAGCAGUGGGGAAUAUUGGACAAUGGGCGAAAGCCUGAUCCAGCCAUGCCGCGUGUGUGAAGAAGGCCCUCGGAUUGUAAAGCACUUUAAGUUGGGAGGAAGGGCAGUAAGUUAAUACCUUGCUGUUUUGACGUUACCAACAGAAUAAGCACCGGCUAACUUCGUG
This 484-nucleotide ribosomal RNA is filed under the name uncultured bacterium. RNAcentral's name for it is "partial 16S ribosomal RNA". It matches the Rfam family "Bacterial small subunit ribosomal RNA", at positions 30 to 507 of the family's 1533-position model. The record is from RNAcentral.